UGGCCAGACUCCUACGGGAGGCAGCAGUGAGGGAUAUUGGUCAAUGGGGGAAACCCUGAACCAGCAACGCCGCGUGAGGGAAGACGGUUUUCGGAUUGUAAACCUCUGUCCUCUGUGAAGAUAAUGACGGUAGCAGAGGAGGAAGCUCCGACUAACUACGUGCCAGCAGCCGCGGUAAUACGUAGGGAGCAAGCGUUGUCCGGAUUUACUGGGUGUAAAGGGAGCGUAGACGGCAGCGCAAGUCUGAAGUGAAAUGCCGGGGCUUAACCCCGGAACUGCUUUGGAAACUGUGCAGCUAGAGUGCAGGAGAGGUAAGUGGAAUUCCUAGUGUAGCGGUGAAAUGCGUAGAUAUUAGGAGGAACACCAGUGGCGAAGGCGGCUUACUGGACUGUAACUGACGUUGAGGCUCGAAAGCGUGGGGAGCAAACAGGAUUAGAUACCCCCGUAG
RNAcentral lists this ribosomal RNA (448 nucleotides) under uncultured bacterium. Its description in RNAcentral is "bacterial SSU rRNA". It matches the Rfam family "Bacterial small subunit ribosomal RNA", at positions 328 to 793 of the family's 1533-position model. The record is from RNAcentral.